This is a long non-coding RNA of Lagopus muta (rock ptarmigan), 546 nucleotides long. RefSeq lists it as uncharacterized. The record is from RefSeq and is a predicted model, not a curated record. NCBI's taxonomy places the organism in Eukaryota, Metazoa, Chordata, Aves, Galliformes, Phasianidae. The transcript has 4 exons.
GAGGUAUCUUAUGUUGGACAUCCCUUCUUUGUGGAAUUUUUCUGCCAGCCGAGAUCUUUGGAGAUAGGUAUUUCAUCUCUUUGGAAAAAAACCAUCAGUUCUCUUCAGGGAAUUCCAGCAAGCUGGGUAUACCACAAACACCCGGAAAUACCCUUGUGCUGUCAGGCCUGGAAUGGGUAUUGCCGUCACAGUACUUGAACAUUCAGUUGCUCCAUCUCAGAUGUUCCCCAGUCCACAAAGCAAAACCACCUACCUUCCUGAUCCUUCUGGCCAUGGAAGCAGAUCUGGCCACAAGAUCUUCUGAAAUCUCAUCUCCUGGUUUCUGAGUCUGCUACGAACUGCUUAAGACAGGAUCGCUGCUGUGGAUUUGUGUGUGUGUGUGUUUUUAUACUCUCCUUGAGCCAAAGAUUUGCUAUUGUGGAAGAAAUGAACAAUGUACUGUUUUUCCUGGUAACUAUAUCAUGUGAAGGGUAUUGGCAUUGCUCUGUAUAUUGUGGACUGUGCAACCAUUGCUAUUUCUGUUGUAUGAAAAAUAAAUAACUAGGU